RNAcentral lists this transfer RNA (76 nucleotides) under Candidatus Gemmiger avium. RNAcentral describes it as "tRNA-Ala". It matches the Rfam family "tRNA". From Rfam's summary of the family: Transfer RNA (tRNA) molecules are approximately 80 nucleotides in length. The record is from RNAcentral. Lineage: Bacteria; Bacillati; Bacillota; Clostridia; Eubacteriales; Oscillospiraceae.
GGGCCUGUAGCUCAGUUGGGAGAGCGCUGCGUUCGCAUCGCAGAGGUCAAGGGUUCGACUCCCUCCGGGUCCACCA